CCCUUAGAUGUUCUGGGCUGCACGCGCGCUACACUGAAGCGUUCAACGAGUAUUCACCUUGCCCGGGAGGGUUGGGUAAUCUUUUCAAAACGCUUCGUGAUGGGGAUAGAUUAUUGCAAUUAUUAAUCUUCAACGAGGAAUUCCUAGUAAGCGCGAGUCAUCAGCUCGUGCUGAUUACGUCCCUGCCCUUUGUACACACCGCCCGUCGCUCCUACCGAUUGAGCGAUCCGGUGAAUAAUUCGGACUGCAGCAGGCCUGGUCUCCGGGUUUUGCAGCGGAAAGUUUAGUGAACCUUAUCACUUAGAGGAAGGAGAAGUCGUAACA
This 324-nucleotide ribosomal RNA is filed under the name uncultured eukaryote. Its description in RNAcentral is "partial 18S ribosomal RNA". It matches the Rfam family "Eukaryotic small subunit ribosomal RNA", at positions 1470 to 1796 of the family's 1831-position model. The record is from RNAcentral.